RNAcentral lists this ribosomal RNA (732 nucleotides) under Ceracia dentata. Its description in RNAcentral is "SSU rRNA". It matches the Rfam family "Eukaryotic small subunit ribosomal RNA", at positions 505 to 1191 of the family's 1831-position model. The record is from RNAcentral. Lineage: Eukaryota; Metazoa; Arthropoda; Insecta; Diptera; Tachinidae.
CUGUAAUUGGAAUGAGUACACUUUAAAUCCUUUAACAAGGACCUAUUGGAGGGCAAGUCUGGUGCCAGCAGCCGCGGUAACUCCAGCUCCAAUAGCGUAUAUUAAAGUUGUUGCGGUUAAAACGUUCGUAGUUGAACUUGUGCUUCAUACGGGUAGUACAACUAUAAUUGUAGUUUGUACUGUACCUUAUGUAUGUAAGCGUAUUACCGGUGGAGUUCUUAYAURUAAAUACUUUAUUUUCCUCCUAUUUAAACCUGCUUCAGUGCUCUUYAYCGAGUGUUGUUGUGGGCCGGUACAAUUACUUUGAACAAAUUAGAGUGCUUAAAGCAGGCUCCAAAUGCCUGAAUAUUUUGUGCAUGGAAUAAUGAAAUAAGACCUCUGUUCUACUUUCAUUGGUUUUUAGAUCAAGAGGUAAUGAUUAAUAGAAGCAGUUUGGGGGCAUUAGUAUUACGACGCGAGAGGUGAAAUUCUUGGACCGUCGUAAGACUAACUUAAGCGAAAGCAUUUGCCAAAGAUGUUUUCAUUAAUCAAGAACGAAAGUUAGAGGUUCGAAGGCGAUCAGAUACCGCCCUAGUUCUAACCAUAAACGAUGCCAGCUAGCAAUUGGGUGUAGCUACUAUCAUGGCUCUCUCAGUCGCUUCCCGGGAAACCAAAGCUUUUGGGCUCCGGGGGAAGUAUGGUUGCAAAGCUGAAACUUAAAGGAAUUGACGGAAGGGCACCACCAGGAGUGGA